RNAcentral lists this ribosomal RNA (253 nucleotides) under uncultured bacterium. RNAcentral's name for it is "partial 16S ribosomal RNA". It matches the Rfam family "Bacterial small subunit ribosomal RNA", at positions 524 to 776 of the family's 1533-position model. The record is from RNAcentral.
UACGUAGGGUGCGAGCGUUGUCCGGAAUUACUGGGCGUAAAGCGUGCGCAGGCGGUUCGUUGUGUCGGUGGUGAAAGCCCCGGGCUUAACCUGGGAAUGGCCAUGGAAACUGGCGAACUGGAGUGUGGCAGAGGGGGGUGGAAUUCCGCGUGUAGCAGUGAAAUGCGUAGAGAUGCGGAGGAACACCGAUGGCGAAGGCAGCCCCCUGGGCUAGCACUGACGCUCAGGCACGAAAGCGUGGGGAGCAAACAGG